GACGGAGGAUGCAAGCGUUAUCCGGAAUUAUUGGGCGUAAAGCGUCCGCAGGUGGACAUACAAGUCUGCUGUCAAAGUGCAGAGCUUAACUCUGUAAAGGCGGUGGAAACUGUAGGUCUUGAGUAUGGUAGGGGUAGAGGGAAUUCCCGGUGUAGCGGUGAAAUGCGUAGAUAUCGGGAAGAACACCAGUGGCGAAAGCGCCCUACUGGGCCAUAACUGACACUGAGGGACGAAAGCUAGGGGAGCGAACAGG
Molecule: ribosomal RNA, 253 nt
Filed under: uncultured bacterium
Lineage: Bacteria
Description: partial 16S ribosomal RNA
Rfam family: Bacterial small subunit ribosomal RNA
Source: RNAcentral